AUUCUAAUUUCUCCAUGUCUUU
RNAcentral lists this microRNA (22 nucleotides) under Pongo pygmaeus (Bornean orangutan). Its description in RNAcentral is "ppy-miR-576-5p". Its record names the gene ppy-miR-576-5p. The record is from miRBase by way of RNAcentral. Lineage: Eukaryota; Metazoa; Chordata; Mammalia; Primates; Hominidae.